Molecule: long non-coding RNA, 739 nt
Organism: Bombus huntii
Lineage: Eukaryota; Metazoa; Arthropoda; Insecta; Hymenoptera; Apidae
Exons: 3
Source: RefSeq, a predicted model, not a curated record
CACGUAACUGGUAUCCGUGUGCGGCUAUAUCUAUUAUUGUUUUGAUUAGUUUAAAUAUUGCGAGUAUUCGAAAUAUUGAUGCACUGACAGUUCCAAAUUCCAUAAAACCAGUCCAUAAGCUUGAUACGGUAUUUUUCGCUAUUGUCGUUAAUGUGUUUUGUCCAUCAUUCCCAGGAUGUUUACUGUUCCAGGGACGAUUGUUUUUCCUGUUGCUCCUCUGGCCAAUGCGUUCAAGACUGCAGAUUUUCUGCCGGGAACAUGACGUGGUCCCGUAGUGCAUCGAGGUCUUUUGGGUAUAUAUUCCGCUCGUGGCCAACGACGAUGGUGCUGAAUAUCGCCACGUUUGGCGCACGUCCGGGCGGAGUUCCUGUGGUGCGAUUCCUUUGCCAAACGGGUAGUUGCGAGUAGCAUUUUGUUGUAUGUCGUACCUUUACUUGUACCGGAAUGCAUUUGACUAUAUGGACCGCUUCUCCUGCGAUCAAAGCCAUGUGUCCUGGGUUUUGGUUAUGGUGUAUGCAAAUUCGUCGGGCGGUUUUACGUACUUGUUAUCAGUGAAAAUAAAUAUUAUGAAUACUACUUGGAUUGUAAUUAUAUACAUAUAUGCGUACGUAUUGGUGGAUAGCAUCAGUAUUUGGUUUCGUGAGUGGCGUACAAAUACUUUACAGUUCCACUGUGUGGAUUGCUAUUCAUGUUCUUCCAUCCGUCGUUCAGAAAAUGGUUGAUGAGUUCGCCAUCAGUU